UACGAAGGGGGCUAGCGUUGUUCGGAAUUACUGGGCGUAAAGGGCUCGUAGGUGGCCAACUAAGUCAUACGUGAAAUCCCUCGGCUUAACCGGGGAACUGCGCCUGAUACUGGUUGGCUUGAGUUUGGGAGAGGGACGCGGAAUUCCAGGUGUAGCGGUGAAAUGCGUAGAUAUCUGGAGGAACACCGGUGGCGAAGGCGGCGUCCUGGACCAAUACUGACACUGAGGAGCGAAAGCCAGGGGAGCAAACGGG
This 253-nucleotide ribosomal RNA is filed under the name uncultured bacterium. RNAcentral describes it as "partial 16S ribosomal RNA". It matches the Rfam family "Bacterial small subunit ribosomal RNA", at positions 524 to 776 of the family's 1533-position model. The record is from RNAcentral.